UAGAGAUAGAGCCUUCCCCUUCGGGGGACAAAGUGACAGGUGGUGCAUGGUUGUCGUCAGCUCGUGUCGUGAGAUGUUGGGUUAAGUCCCGCAACGAGCGCAACCCUUACACUUAGUUGCCAGCAUUAAGUUGGGCACUCUAAGUUGACUGCCGGUGACAAACCGGAGGAAGGUGGGGAUGACGUCAAAUCAUCAUGCCCCUUAUGAUUUGGGCUACACACGUGCUACAAUGGACAA
Molecule: ribosomal RNA, 237 nt
Filed under: Staphylococcus cohnii
Lineage: Bacteria; Bacillati; Bacillota; Bacilli; Caryophanales; Staphylococcaceae
Description: partial 16S ribosomal RNA
Rfam family: Bacterial small subunit ribosomal RNA
Source: RNAcentral